Molecule: ribosomal RNA, 123 nt
Organism: Fukomys damarensis (Damara mole-rat)
Lineage: Eukaryota; Metazoa; Chordata; Mammalia; Rodentia; Bathyergidae
Source: Ensembl
GUCGAUGGCCAUACCAUCUUGAACAUGCCCAAUCUCUGAUCUCAGAAGCUAAGCAGGGUCGGGCCUGGUUAGUACUUGGAUGGGGAGUUCACAGUUUAUAGAAGUUUCAGUCCAUAAUUGGCU